This 439-nucleotide ribosomal RNA is filed under the name uncultured bacterium. RNAcentral's name for it is "partial 16S ribosomal RNA". It matches the Rfam family "Bacterial small subunit ribosomal RNA", at positions 339 to 795 of the family's 1533-position model. The record is from RNAcentral.
CUACGGGAUGCUGCAGUGGGGAAUAUUGGACAAUGGGCGAAAGCCUGAUCCAGCAAUACCGCGUGAAUGAUGAAGGCCUUAGGGUUGUAAAGUUCUUUUAGUUGGAAAGAUAAUGACGGUACCAACAGAAAAAGCCCCGGCUAGCUCCGUGCCAGCAGCCGCGGUAAGACGGAGGGGGCUAGCGUUGUUCGGAAUUACUGGGCGUAAAGGGCGCGUGGGCGGAUUAGUAAGUUGGGAGUGAAAGCCCGGGGCUUAACCUCGGAACUGCUUUCAAAACUGCUAGUCUUGAGUGAAGUAGGGGAUGAUGGAAUUCCUAGUGUAGAGGUGAAAUUCUUAGAUAUUAGGAGGAACACCGGUGGCGAAGGCGGUCAUCUGGACUUCAACUGACGCUGAGGCGCGAAAGCGUGGGGAGCAAACAGGAUUAGAUACCCUAGUAGUC